Molecule: ribosomal RNA, 497 nt
Filed under: uncultured bacterium
Lineage: Bacteria
Description: partial 16S ribosomal RNA
Rfam family: Bacterial small subunit ribosomal RNA
Source: RNAcentral
GAUGAACGCUGGCGGCGUGCCUAAUACAUGCAAGUCGAGCGAACAGACGAGGAGCUUGCUCCUUUGACGUUAGCGGCGGACGGGUGAGUAACACGUGGAUAACCUACCUAUAAGACUGGGAUAACUUCGGGAAACCGGAGCUAAUACCGGAUAACAUGUUGAACCGCAUGGUUCAACAGUGAAAGACGGUCUUGCUGUCACUUAUAGAUGGAUCCGCGCCGCAUUAGCUAGUUGGUAAGGUAACGGCUUACCAAGGCAACGAUGCGUAGCCGACCUGAGAGGGUGAUCGGCCACACUGGAACUGAGACACGGUCCAGACUCCUACGGGAGGCAGCAGUAGGGAAUCUUCCGCAAUGGGCGAAAGCCUGACGGAGCAACGCCGCGUGAGUGAAGAAGGUCUUCGGAUCGUAAAACUCUGUUAUUAGGGAAGAACAAAUGUGAAAGUAACUAUGCACGUCUUGACGGUACCUAAUCAGAAAGCCACGGCUAACUACGUG